Molecule: ribosomal RNA, 492 nt
Filed under: uncultured bacterium
Lineage: Bacteria
Description: partial 16S ribosomal RNA
Rfam family: Bacterial small subunit ribosomal RNA
Source: RNAcentral
AGUGAACGCUGGCGGUAGGCCUAACACAUGCAAGUCGAACGGCAGCACAGUAAGAGCUUGCUCUUACGGGUGGCGAGUGGCGGACGGGUGAGGAAUACAUCGGAAUCUACUUUUUCGUGGGGGAUAACGUAGGGAAACUUACGCUAAUAUCGCAUACGACCUACGGGUGAAAGCAGGGGAUCUUCGGACCUUGCGCGAUUGAAUGAGCCGAUGUCGGAUUAGCUAGUUGGCGGGGUAAAGGCCCACCAAGGCGACGAUCCGUAGCUGGUCUGAGAGGAUGAUCGGCCACACUGGAGCGGAGACACGGUCCAGACUCCUACGGGAGGCAGCAGUGGGGAAUAUUGGACAAUGGGCGCAAGCCUGAUCCAGCCAUACCGCGUGGGUGAAGAAGGCCUUCGGGUUGUAAAGCCCUUUUGUUGGGAAAGAAAAGCAGCAGAUUAAUACCCCGCUGUUCUGACGGUACCCAAAGAAUAAGCACCGGCUAACUUCGUG